UAGCCUUGACAUUGAUUGAACGGACCAGAGAUGGACCGGUGCCCUUCGGGGAACAUGAAAACAGGUGCUGCACGGCUGUCGUCAGCUCGUGUCGUGAGAUGUUGGGUUAAGUCCCGCAACGAGCGCAACCCUCGUCAAUAGUUGCCAGCAGGUUAAGCUGGGCACUCUAUUGAGACUGCCUUCGCAAGGAGGAGGAAGGUGAGGACGACGUCAAGUCAUCAUGGCCCUUAUGGCUAGGGCUACACACGUGCUACAAUGGGGCGUACAGAGAGUUGCGAUACCGCGAGGUGGAGCCAAUCUCAUAAAGCGUCUCUCAGUUCGGAUUGAAGUCUGCAACUCGACUUCAUGAAGCUGGAAUCACUAGUAAUCGUAGAUCAGCAAUGCUACGGUGAAUACGUUACCGGGUCU
This 408-nucleotide ribosomal RNA is filed under the name uncultured bacterium. Its description in RNAcentral is "bacterial SSU rRNA". It matches the Rfam family "Bacterial small subunit ribosomal RNA", at positions 976 to 1381 of the family's 1533-position model. The record is from RNAcentral.